CGGUAAUUCCAGCUCCAAGGGCGUAUACUAAUGUUGUUGCUGUUAAAAAGCUCGUAGUUGGACUUGGAUCUGUUCUGUGCUAGCCAUCAUUGGAGUCUCUGGAUCCACGUGGUUACUGGCUGCUUUGAUCCGUGUUUGGCACAAUUGGAUUAGAUCUUUUUCACUGGUUGACUCUGUCUGUGUGAUGGCCUCUUCACUGAGUCCAGAUCGAAUGGAGCCUCUUGGUUCGACUCUGGGGCUGCUCGCAGCCCGAGCGUGGUUCGUAAUGCUUCUCACGCAGUGUGCAUUUGCAUAAGGACAGUUGAUCGUGAUACCGAGAACAAAACAGCGUGCUUAAGGCUGGAUCAGUAGAUGACAAAGCUUGCUAUAUCAAUGAACCGACCGGUUAUGUGCGGUUUGCAGGUUUCUGCAUGUAAUAGCGGGGAGUCUGAGCUUGUUGGCGUUGGGAAUGUACCCAUCGGCUCACCUCGGUGACCGUGGGACCACAGACCCAAUCAGCUACUCGUUUCAACGAUAUUAACAGGGACCGAUGGAGCAGUCCGUAUUGUCAGACGAGGGGUGAAAUCCUUAGACUCUGACAAGACGAACAAGGGCGAAAGCACUCUGCUAAGAGGCCUUCAUUAAUCAAGAACGAGAGUGCAGGGAUCGAAGAUGAUCAGAUACCGUCGUAGUCUGCUACUGUAAACGAUGCAAACUAGGGAUCAGUUGAUGGGACAACAUGAUUCUGUUGACUCGGUUGGUACCUCCGCUUCUCUCUUAACGCGAAAGCUGCAAGUCUUCGUGUUCAGGGGGGAGUACAGUUGCAAGGCUGAAACUUAAAGGAAUUGACGGAAUGACACCACAAGGCGUGGAUGCUGCGGCUUAAUUUGACUCAACACAGAGAAUGUUACCAGAUCAUGAGGUUUGGAGGAUUGACAGAUUGACAGUUCUUUCUUGAUUCAGUUAAUGGUGGUGCAUGGCCGCUCCUGGUUGGUGGAGUGAUUUGUCUGGUUGAUUCCGUUAACGAACGAGAUCCCACCCCUUCGAUUUCAGUUAUAUCGUACGUAAUCAUUGGACGCUAGCUCAUGUGGUUCGUCCGUUGGUGAGAUCUAAGAUGUAUGCAAGGGGACUAUGUGUGUUGAUAACACAUUGAAGUCUGGGCCAAUAGCAGGUCUGUGAUGCUCCUAGAUGUUCUGGGCUGCACGCGGCAUACAAUGGUGAAAGCAGUAGGAUUGGUUCGGUCGAGCUCCUGUUUCGAAAGUAUUGGGAAAUCCCCUCAGAUUUGACUGUGGCUGGGAUAGACAAUUGCAACUGUUUGUCUUGAACUAGGAAUGCCUUGUAAGCACAUCUCAUUACAGUGUAUUGAAUGCGUCCCUGCCGUUUGUACACACCGCCCGUCGUUGCAAUCGACUGGUUUGAUCGUAGAGUACUUCUGGAGAAACACCAGCAGGCUCUCUCGAGUCUGAUGAUUGGGUUGAAGUUGAGCAAUACUGUGGAACUAGAGAAUGCAAAAGUCGUAACAAGGUAGCCG
RNAcentral lists this ribosomal RNA (1510 nucleotides) under uncultured euglenozoan. RNAcentral describes it as "bacterial SSU rRNA". It matches the Rfam family "Eukaryotic small subunit ribosomal RNA", at positions 577 to 1805 of the family's 1831-position model. Lineage: Eukaryota; Euglenozoa. The record is from RNAcentral.